RNAcentral lists this long non-coding RNA (817 nucleotides) under Pan paniscus (pygmy chimpanzee). RNAcentral describes it as "lncRNA (ENSPPAG00000044607.1)". Lineage: Eukaryota; Metazoa; Chordata; Mammalia; Primates; Hominidae. The record is from RNAcentral.
UUCUUUCUCUUUUUCAUCCAUGCUCUCUUGCUCUUCUGCCUUCCACCAUGGGAUGUUGCAGCAAAAACACUCUCACCAGAUGUGAGCCCCCUUGACCUUGGACUUCCUGGCCUCCAGAGCUUUAAGAGAUAAGUUUCUGUUCUUAAUAAACUACCCAGACUCACAUAUUCUGUUACAGCAGCAUGAAGCAGACAAAGACUACAUGUGUGUAAAUACACACCCCCCCACACACACAUAUAUAGAAAAAUAUAUAUUUAUAUGUACAAGAUAUAUACCAUUUAGGAUGUUUUUAACAUCAAGAGCUUGGAUAUAGGAACAUGUUCUGAUGGGAGCUCUGCUGGGGUUUUUAAGGUUAGCACAAGGGAAACAUUGAAACAAAAUCCUUUCUCUACGCAAAGUGUGAUUUGGUUUUGCAUAAUGCAUUGUGCUUCAGGUGCCAAGUUCCAGACACAAGGAGAAUUAAUGGAAUAGCAUCAGUAAAGGGCUUUAGACUCCUCAGAGGAAGUUCCCCAGCCUCAUUAAAGCUAGCCCUGUUGGAGCUGGAAAUUAUUUUUAUCUGCUAUUCUGGACUUCCUUCCAUCAUCUGGAAGGAUUAUCACUCCUGGUGCACCCCUACUUUGAAGAGUUGCAUUUAUUCAUUACUGCAAAUGAGGCUUUAAAAUGACUCAUCACAUAAAUAAAAUUCAAUGGAAAUUCAAGGAGGAAACAGAUGGAGAUGCCUAUAAGGACAAUUGAGAAAAUAAUCUUAAAGAAGGAGGAAUUUAAGGUAAUCCUUGAAGAAUAGGUCUUACUUCAACAUGCCAUGAUGGGAAGAGGG